RNAcentral lists this ribosomal RNA (441 nucleotides) under uncultured bacterium. RNAcentral describes it as "bacterial SSU rRNA". It matches the Rfam family "Bacterial small subunit ribosomal RNA", at positions 337 to 794 of the family's 1533-position model. The record is from RNAcentral.
UCCUACGGGGGGCAGCAGUAGGGAAUAUUGCACAAUGGGCGAAAGCCUGAUGCAGCAACGCCGCGUGCGCGAUGAAGGCCUUCGGGUCGUAAAGCGCUUUUCUGGAGGACGAGCAAGGACGGUACUCCAGGAAUAAGGCUCGGCUAACUACGUGCCAGCAGCCGCGGUAAAACGUAGGAGCCAAGCGUUAUCCGAAUUCACUGGGCGUAAAGCGCGUGCAGGCGGUCUGGUAAGUUGGGUGUGAAAUCUCCUGGCUCAACUGGGAGAGGACGUUCAAUACUGUCAGACUCGAGGGCGGUAGAGGGAGGUGGAAUUCCCGGUGUAGUGGUGAAAUGCGUAGAUAUCGGGAGGAACACCAGUGGCGAAAGCGGCCUCCUGGACCGCACCUGACGCUCAGACGCGAAAGCUAGGGGAGCAAACGGGAUUAGAUACCCCGGUAGA